This 364-nucleotide ribosomal RNA is filed under the name Cheilinus fasciatus (redbreast wrasse). Its description in RNAcentral is "partial 12S ribosomal RNA". It matches the Rfam family "Bacterial small subunit ribosomal RNA", at positions 972 to 1527 of the family's 1533-position model. The record is from RNAcentral. Lineage: Eukaryota; Metazoa; Chordata; Actinopteri; Labriformes; Labridae.
CACCUCUCCUUGUUCUUUCCCGCCUAUAUACCGCCGUCGUCAGCUUACCCUGCAAGGGACUCAAAGUAAGCAAAAUUGGUUAACCCCCCAAAACGCCAGGUCGAGGUGUAGCGCAUGGAGAGGGAUGAGAUGGGCUACAUUCCAUCCCACAUGGCAUACGAAUGGCAGACUGAAACGUCAGCCUGAAGGAGGAUUUAGUAGUAAGUGAGAAAUAGAGUGUCCCACUGAAUCCGGCCCUGAAGCGCGCACACACCGCCCGUCACUCUCCCCGAAUAAAAAUCUUCUAUCUCUAAUACAACAUAAUCACGUAAGGGGAGGCAAGUCGUAACAUGGUAAGUGUACCGGAAGGUGCACUUGGACAACC